Molecule: small RNA, 117 nt
Filed under: Marmota monax (woodchuck)
Lineage: Eukaryota; Metazoa; Chordata; Mammalia; Rodentia; Sciuridae
Source: RNAcentral
GCUGGGUAGAAUGGCUCAUACCUGUACUGCCAGCUACUCAGGAGGCUGACACAGGAGGAUAACUUGAAACCAGAAGUUCAGGGCCAGCUUGGGCAGCAUAGCAAGACCCUGUCUCAA